AGUCGAGCGCAGGAACCGGCGGAACCCUUCGGGGGGAAGCCGGUGGAAUGAGCGGCGGACGGGUGAGUAACACGUGGGCAACCUGCCUUUCAGACUGGGAUAACCCCGGGAAACCGGGGCUAAUACCGGAUAACCAGCCGGUUCGCAUGAACCGGCUGUAAAAGAGGGGAGUUUUCUCCUCUCACUGAAAGAUGGGCCCGCGGCGCAUUAGCUAGUUGGUAAGGUAGUGGCUUACCAAGGCGACGAUGCGUAGCCGACCUGAGAGGGUGAUCGGCCACACUGGAACUGAGACACGGUCCAGACUCCUACGGGAGGCAGCAGUAGGGAAUCAUCCGCAAUGGGCGAAAGCCUGACGGUGCAACGCCGCGUGAACGACGAAGGUUUUCGGAUCGUAAAGUUCUGUUGUGAGGGAAGAACACGUGCCGGUCAAACAGGCCGGCACCUUGACGGUACCUCACGAGAAAGCCCCGGCUAACUACGUGCCAGCAGCCGCGGUAAUACGUAGGGGGCAAGCGUUGUCCGGAAUUAUUGGGCGUAAAGCGCGCGCAGGCGGUCUUGUAAGUCUGAUGUGAAAGCCCACGGCUCAACCGUGGAGGGUCAUUGGAAACUGCAGGACUUGAGUGUAGGAGAGGAAAGUGGAAUUCCACGUGUAGCGGUGAAAUGCGUAGAUAUGUGGAGGAACACCAGUGGCGAAGGCGACUUUCUGGCCUACAACUGACGCUGAGGCGCGAAAGCGUGGGGAGCAAACAGGAUUAGAUACCCUGGUAGUCCACGCCGUAAACGAUGAGUGCUAGGUGUUAGGGGUUUCGAUGCCCUUAGUGCCGAAGUUAACACAUUAAGCACUCCGCCUGGGGAGUACGGCCGCAAGGCUGAAACUCAAAGGAAUUGACGGGGGCCCGCACAAGCAGUGGAGCAUGUGGUUUAAUUCGACGCAACGCGAAGAACCUUACCAGGUCUUGACAUCCGUUGACCGCUCUGGAGACAGAAUUUUCCCCUUC
RNAcentral lists this ribosomal RNA (998 nucleotides) under Alkalicoccus luteus. RNAcentral describes it as "bacterial SSU rRNA". It matches the Rfam family "Bacterial small subunit ribosomal RNA", at positions 60 to 1022 of the family's 1533-position model. Lineage: Bacteria; Bacillati; Bacillota; Bacilli; Caryophanales; Bacillaceae. The record is from RNAcentral.